UCCGGCUUAUCACCGGCAGUCCCUCUAGAGUGCCCAACUAAAUGCUGGCAACUAAAGGCGAGGGUUGCGCUCGUUGCGGGACUUAACCCAACAUCUCACGACACGAGCUGACGACAGCCAUGCAGCACCUGUCUCACGGUUCCCGAAGGCACUCUCUCAUCUCUGAAAGAUUCCGUGGAUGUCAAGGCCAGGUAAGGUUCUGCGCGUUGCAUCGAAUUAAACCACAUACUCCACCGCUUGUGCGGGCCCCCGUCAAUUCCUUUGAGUUUCAGUCUUGCGACCGUACUCCCCAGGCGGCCAACUUAACGCGUUAGCUUCGACACUGAGAGCCAAGUUGCUCCCAACGUCCAGUUGGCAUCGUUUAGGGCGUGGACUAC
Molecule: unclassified non-coding RNA, 377 nt
Filed under: uncultured Lysobacterales bacterium
Lineage: Bacteria; Pseudomonadati; Pseudomonadota; Gammaproteobacteria; Lysobacterales
Description: uncultured Xanthomonadales bacterium contains 16S-23S intergenic spacer region
Source: RNAcentral